CGCACGAGAAAGUGGAGCAAUCCAUGAGUACAGUGGCGCACGGGUGAGUAACACGUGAAUCAUCUACCUUCGAGUGGGGAAUAACUGGGAGAAAUCUCAGCUAAUACCGCAUAAUACCUACGGGUCAAAGCAGCAAUGCGCUUGAAGAGGAGUUCGCGGCAGAUUAGUUAGUUGGCGGGGUAAUGGCCCACCAAGACGAUGAUCUGUAUCCGGCCUGAGAGGGCGCACGGACACACUGGAACUGAAACACGGUCCAGACUCCUACGGGAGGCAGCAGUGGGGAAUUUUGCGCAAUGGGGGAAACCCUGACGCAGCAACGCCGCGUGGAGGAUGAAAUCCCUUGGGAUGUAAACUCCUUUCGAUCGGGACGAUUAUGACGGUACCGGAAGAAGAAGCCCCGGCUAACUUCGUGCCAGCAGCCGCGGUAAUACGAGGGGGGCAAGCGUUGUUCGGAAUUAUUGGGCGUAAAGGGCGCGUAGGCGGUUUGACAAGUCUGAUGUGAAAUCUGUGGGCUCAACCCACAGCCUGCAUUAGAAACUGUCGGGCUUGAGUAUGGGAGAGGUGAGUGGAAUUUCCGGUGUAGCGGUGAAAUGCGUAGAUAUCGGAAGGAACACCUGUGGCGAAAGCGGCUCACUGGACCAUAACUGACG
RNAcentral lists this ribosomal RNA (650 nucleotides) under uncultured bacterium. RNAcentral describes it as "bacterial SSU rRNA". It matches the Rfam family "Bacterial small subunit ribosomal RNA", at positions 63 to 745 of the family's 1533-position model. The record is from RNAcentral.